UCGGGAAUUUUGGGCAAUGGGCGAAAGCCUGACCCAGCAACGCCGCGUGAGGGAUGAAGUAUUUCGGUAUGUAAACCUCGAAAGAAUGGGAAGAAUAAAUGACGGUACCAUUUAUAAGCUCCGGCUAACUACGUGCCAGCAGCCGCGGUAAUACGUCGGGAGCAAGCGUUGUUCGGAUUUACUGGGCGUAAAGGGCGCGUAGGCGGCGCGGUAAGUCACUUGUGAAAUCUCUGAGCUUAACUCAGAACGGCCAAGUGAUACUGCUGUGCUAGAGUGCGGAAGAGGCAACCGGAAUUCUUGGUGUAGCGGUGAAAUGCGUAGAUAUCAAGAGGAACACCUGAGGCGAAGGCGGGUUGCUGGGCCGACACUGACGCUGAUGCGCGAAAGCCAGGGGAGCAAACG
This 402-nucleotide ribosomal RNA is filed under the name uncultured bacterium. RNAcentral describes it as "bacterial SSU rRNA". It matches the Rfam family "Bacterial small subunit ribosomal RNA", at positions 355 to 774 of the family's 1533-position model. The record is from RNAcentral.